This 439-nucleotide ribosomal RNA is filed under the name uncultured bacterium. RNAcentral's name for it is "partial 16S ribosomal RNA". It matches the Rfam family "Bacterial small subunit ribosomal RNA", at positions 338 to 795 of the family's 1533-position model. The record is from RNAcentral.
CCUACGGGCGGCAGCAGUGAGGAAUAUUGCACAAUGGGGGAAACCCUGAUGCAGCGAAGCCGCGUGAGGGAAGAAGUAUUUCGUUAUGUAAAGCUCUCUCAGCAGGGAAGAAAAUGACGGUACCUGAGUAAGAAGCCCGGCUAACUACGUGCCAGCAGCCGCGGUAAUACGUCGGGGGCCAGCGUUAUCCGGAUUUACUGGGUGUAAAGGGGGCGUAGACGGCAGUUCAAGUUUGGAGUGAAAGGCGGGGGCUCAACCCCCGGACUGCUCUGGAAACUGGACGGCUGGAGUGCAGGAGAGGUAAGUGGAAUGCGUAGUGUAGCGGUGAAAUGCGUAGAUAUCAGGAGGAACACCAGUGGCGAAGGCGGCUUACUGGACUGUAACUGACGUUGAGGCUCGAAAGCGUGGGGAGCAAACAGGAUUAGAUACCCCUGUAGUC